CCUACGGGAGGCAGCAGUGGGGAAUAUUGCACAAUGGGGGAAACCCUGAUGCAGCGACGCCGCGUGAGUGAAGAAGGAUUUCGGUAUGUAAAGCUCUAUCAGCAGGAACGGGGCAAGACGGUGUCUGACUGAGAAGCCCCGGCUAAAUACGUGCAAGCAGCCGCGGUAAUAUGCAGGGGGCAAGAUUUUUCCGGAUUCACUGGGGGUAAAGGGAGCGUAGACGGGUGAGCAAGCCUGAAGUGAAAGGCCGGGGCCCAACCCCCGGACUGCUUUGGAAACUGUACGGCUGGAGUGCAGGAGAGGUAAGUGGAAUUCCGAGUGUAGCGGUGAAAUGCGUAGAUAUUAGGAGGAACACCAGUGGCGAAGGCGGAUUGCUGGACUGUAACUGACGUUGAGGCUCGAAAGCGUGGGGAGCAAACAGGAUUAGAUACCCGGGUAGUC
Molecule: ribosomal RNA, 441 nt
Filed under: uncultured bacterium
Lineage: Bacteria
Description: partial 16S ribosomal RNA
Rfam family: Bacterial small subunit ribosomal RNA
Source: RNAcentral